GAGUUUGAUCAUGGCUCAGAACGUACGCUGGCGGCACGCCUAACACAUGCAAGUCGAACGAAGUAGCAAUACUUAGUGGCAGACGGGUGAGUAACAUGUAGGUAUCUACCCUUUGGCCUGGAAUAACACGAGGAAACUUGUGCUAAUACCGGAUAAGUCUUUACGGAGAAAGCUUUAUGCAUCAUUGGAUGAGCCUGCACUUGAUUAGUUUGUUGGUGGGGUAAUGGCCUACCAAGACUGUGAUCAAUAGCUGAUUUGAGAGGAUGAUCAGCCACAUUGGGACUGAGACACGGCCCAAACUCCUACGGGAGGCAGCAGUGGGGAAUCUUGCACAAUGGAGGAAACUCUGAUGCAGCGAUGCCGCGUGAGUGAAGAAGGCCCUUGGGUUGUAAAGCUCUUUCGUCGGGGAAGAAAAUGACUGUACCCGAAUAAGAAGGUCCGGCUAACUUCGUGCCAGCAGCCGCGGUAAUACGAAGGGACCUAGCGUAGUUCGGAAUUACUGGGCUUAAAGAGUUCGUAGGUGGUUGAAAAAGUUAGUGGUGAAAUCCCAGAGCUUAACUCUGGAACUGCCAUUAAAACUUUUCAGCUAGAGUAUGAUAGAGGAAAGCAGAAUUUCUAGUGUAGAGGUGAAAUUCGUAGAUAUUAGAAAGAAUACCAAUUGCGAAGGCAGCUUUCUGGAUCAUUACUGACACUGAGGAACGAAAGCAUGGGUAGCGAAGAGGAUUAGAUACCCUCGUAGUCCAUGCCGUAAACGAUGUGUGUUAGACGUUGGAAAUUUAUUUUCAGUGUCGCAGGGAAACCGAUAAACACACCGCCUGGGGAGUACGACCGCAAGGUUAAAACUCAAAUGAAUUGACGGGGACCCGCACAAGUAGUGGAGCAUGUGGUUUAAUUCGAAGAUACGCGCAGAACCUUACCAACACUUGACAUGUUCGUCGCGACUUUAAGAGAUUAGAGUUUUCGGUUCGGCCGGACGAAACACAGGUGCUGCAUGGCUGUCGUCAGCUCGUGUCGUGAGAUGUUGGGUUAAGUCCCGCAACGAGCGCAACCCUCACUUUUAGUUGCCAUCAUUAAGUUGGGCACUCUGAAAGAACUGCCAGUGAUAAGCUGGAGGAAGGUGGGGAUGACGUCAAGUCCUCAUGGCCCUUACGUGUUGGGCUACACACGUGCUACAAUGGUAUCUACAACAGGAAGCAAGACUGCGAAGUUAAGCAAAUCCCUAAAAGAUACCUCAGUUCGGAUUGCACUCUGCAACUCGAGUGCAUGAAGCUGGAAUUACUAGUAAUCGUGGAUCAGCGUGCCACGGUGAAUGCGUUCCCGGGUCUUGUACACACCGCCCGUCACACCAUGGGAGUUGGUUCUACCUUAAGGCAAGGUUUCAAACCCUUGACCACGGUAUAGUCAGCGACUGGGGUGAAGUCGUAACAAGGUAACC
RNAcentral lists this ribosomal RNA (1435 nucleotides) under uncultured marine bacterium. Its description in RNAcentral is "bacterial SSU rRNA". It matches the Rfam family "Bacterial small subunit ribosomal RNA". The record is from RNAcentral.